GAUGAACGCUGGCGGCGUGCUUAACACAUGCAAGUCGAACGGACAGGCGAGGUUCUUGCUGGUCGCACGUGAGGGGCGGGCGGGUGAGUCACACGAGGAUACCCUACCUAUAAGACUGGGACGACUACGGGACACUGGAUACCACAUCGGACAAGAUAUUGAACCGCGGGGUGCGAUAGUGAAAGUCGGCUUUGCUGGCACGACUAGCGGGUUCCGGGCUGCAGUAGCUAGUUGGUAGGGUAACGGCGUACCAAGGCGAGGCUGCGUAGCCGACCUGAGAGGGUGAUCGGCCACACUGGAACUGAGACACGGACCAGACUCCUACGGGAGGCAGCAGUGGGGAAUUUUGGGCAAUGGGGGAAAGCCUGACGCAGCAAGGCCGCGUGAGGGAUGAAGGCCUUCGGGUCGUAAAACUCUGUUAUUCGGGAAGAACAACUGUGGGCGAAUACCUGGGGGGGAUGACGGUACCGGAUGAAUAAGCACCGGCUAACUACGUG
RNAcentral lists this ribosomal RNA (497 nucleotides) under uncultured bacterium. RNAcentral describes it as "partial 16S ribosomal RNA". It matches the Rfam family "Bacterial small subunit ribosomal RNA", at positions 28 to 507 of the family's 1533-position model. The record is from RNAcentral.